RNAcentral lists this transfer RNA (49 nucleotides) under Hydrocotyle alata. RNAcentral's name for it is "partial tRNA-Leu". The record is from RNAcentral. RNAcentral also lists the same sequence under 1 other name. Lineage: Eukaryota; Viridiplantae; Streptophyta; Magnoliopsida; Apiales; Araliaceae.
AAAAUCCGUCGACUUUAAAAUCAUGAGGGUUCAAGUCCCUCUAUCCCCA